CAAGGUAUAGUUCAUAACAAUCUCUCGUCACAAUUCUAUGAGAAAGAAUACGAAAUUGUGGCAUUGUAACUCUCAUGAAGUUUUUAAAACCCUCUUUCUCAACAAAACUAAAUGGUAGCUCGUCAAUAAUUCUCAUUUUGGCUAAAGCUUUCCUACUUUGUGCUUGGUCAAAUUUUCAAGUGCUAAUGACCCCUUCCUUUGCUCCCGUUG
This 210-nucleotide unclassified non-coding RNA is filed under the name Hevea brasiliensis (rubber tree). The record is from RNAcentral. Lineage: Eukaryota; Viridiplantae; Streptophyta; Magnoliopsida; Malpighiales; Euphorbiaceae.